This 617-nucleotide ribosomal RNA is filed under the name Stutzerimonas stutzeri. Its description in RNAcentral is "bacterial SSU rRNA". It matches the Rfam family "Bacterial small subunit ribosomal RNA", at positions 153 to 767 of the family's 1533-position model. The record is from RNAcentral. Lineage: Bacteria; Pseudomonadati; Pseudomonadota; Gammaproteobacteria; Pseudomonadales; Pseudomonadaceae.
GAAAAGGCUAAUUCUGCUUACCUCUUCCGGGAGAAAGUGGGGGAUCUUCGGACCUCACGUUAUCAGAUGAGCCUAGGUCGGAUUAGCUAGUUGGUGAGGUAAAGGCUCACCAAGGCGACGAUCCGUAACUGGUCUGAGAGGAUGUUCAGUCACACUGGAACUGAGACACGGUCCAGACUCCUACGGGAGGCAGCAGUGGGGAAUAUUGGACAAUGGGCGAAAUCCUGAUCCAGCCAUGCCGCGUGUGUGAAGAAGGUCUUCGGAUUGUAAAGCACUUUAAGUUGGGAGGAAGGGCAGUAAGUUAAUACCUUGCUGUUUUGACGUUACCAACAGAAUAAGCCCCGGCUAACUUCGUGCCAGCAGCCGCGGUAAUACGAAGGGUGCAAGCGUUAAUCGGAAUUACUGGGCGUAAAGCGCGCGUAGGUGGUUUGUUAAGUUGGAUGUGAAAGCCCCGGGCUCAACCUGGGAGCUGCAUCCAAAACUGGCGAGCUAGAGUAUGGCAGAGGGUGGUGGAAUUUCCUGUGUAGCGGUGAAAUGCGUAGAUAUAGGAAGGAACACCAGUGGCGAAGGCGACCUACUCUGGGCUAAUACUGACACUGAGUGCGAAAGAUUCCUCC